GCAUCAGAUCCCUCACGUUUAAGGGCUCAGCUCCACAAGACUACCCCCUUCACAUGCCAGCAGCAAAUAUGGGGCCCAAGUUACCCACAUUUCUGCCCAGCUGACUACAAAUUCUGGUUUCCAUGACCCCCUCUCAGGUUUGAUAGUUUGCUAGAACAACUCACAAAGUGAAGGAAAAUGGUGUACUUACUAUUACUGGCUUAUUAUAAAGGCUACAACUCAGAAACAGCCAAACGGAGGAGAUGCACAGAGCAAGGUGACCAGUCCGCAUCCUGAUACUAUCUCGGAGUCCCCCAGCCAAGAAUCAUCUCAUCAGCAUAAACUCAGGCAAUGUUGAAAGGCAUUCAGAAUGGUACUGGCCAUGUAACAUCCUCAGGAAAAUGGAGAAAGGAGUCACAUCAUCUUCUGUGUUUGGAGACUGCUAUGUAAGCCAGAAUACUAGUCACACAGUGCAGAUGGGGAAACUGAAGCAUAGGGCAAUGAAGAAACUUGCUCUGAAUUGCAGAAUUUGUGAAUAGUAGAUGGGGGAUGUGAACCCAGGUGUUGCGCACAUCACCCCAACAGUCAAGGCUGUGGCCA
This 579-nucleotide long non-coding RNA is filed under the name Homo sapiens (human). RNAcentral's name for it is "HSALNT0348697". The record is from RNAcentral. Lineage: Eukaryota; Metazoa; Chordata; Mammalia; Primates; Hominidae.